Molecule: ribosomal RNA, 252 nt
Filed under: uncultured prokaryote
Description: partial 16S rRNA
Rfam family: Bacterial small subunit ribosomal RNA
Source: RNAcentral
ACGGAGGGUGCAAGCGUUAAUCGGAAUUACUGGGCGUAAAGCGUUCGUAGCCGGUUUGAUAAGUCUCUGGUGAACUCCCGCAGCUUAACUGUGGGACUUGCUGGAGAUACUAUUAGACUUGAGGUCGGGAGAGGUUAGGGGUACUCCCAGGGUAGGGGUGAAAUCCUAUAAUCCUGGGAGGACCACCUGUGGCGAAGGCGCCUAACUGGAACGAACCUGACGGUGAGUAACGAAAGCCAGGGGCGCGAACCG